Homo sapiens (human) is the source of this 413-nucleotide long non-coding RNA. RefSeq lists it as uncharacterized. The transcript has 3 exons. Lineage: Eukaryota; Metazoa; Chordata; Mammalia; Primates; Hominidae. The record is from RefSeq and is a predicted model, not a curated record.
CGUGGCACCUCCAUGCGGCUAGUGCUUCCUCACAGCCUGGCAACAGGGUUCAAAGAGGGAGGACCAGGAGGAAGCUGAGCCACCUUUUAUGACCUAGCCUUGGAAGUCACACAGUGUCACUUCCCCGUGCUUUAUGGCCUGAGGCAGUCACAAAAGUUCAUCUGGAUUCAAGAGGUGGAGUUAGAGACUCUACUCCUCUUGAGGUGGACGGGUCGUGCUUGGAGGGUUCCUGGUGCAAACGUGGCGCAUUCCAGAAUUGACGUAGAGAACUGCCUCCGUGCUGCUGGUUGGACAGUUAUUCUCACCAACAAGAAGGUAGACGAUGGUUAGUCUAUCUGCAGCUGCUCCCGCUUACUGAGGGGAAAAGAGAAGACUUCCCCUUGUAACCUGGCUGGGAGCCUUCCCAAGGUGGG